AGAGAAAGACAGUGGAACUGCUAAUUCCACAAUUCCAUAAUUAACACUAUGGCUUUCUUG
This 60-nucleotide transfer RNA is filed under the name Fukomys damarensis (Damara mole-rat). Its description in RNAcentral is "tRNA-Ser". The record is from RNAcentral. Lineage: Eukaryota; Metazoa; Chordata; Mammalia; Rodentia; Bathyergidae.